GCCAGUCCGAACCCUGAGGCUCACCGCAGGGUCUGGUUGGCCUUCUCCAGAGUCUCGAUGUUCUGCUCCAGUUGGAACAGCUGGAGGCGCAGUUGCUCUGCCUCCUCUGUGCCCUUUCUCUGCUGGCGGCACUUCUCUGUCAGCAUGAGGAUAACCUACAGCAGCGGGCAGGCAUCACAGACCCCUCGUGGGGCCCCAGCCCACCCCUAGCUCCCUUUUGAAGAUACAGCUUAGGACUUGUUCCCACUUACAGGCAGGCCAGCGCCACCUCUAGACAACAGCUAGACAGGAACUGGGCUCUGCUCAGUGAUGGGGCAAACAGACUCCAGAGCUAGGGCCAGCACCCCAGUGAGGAAAGUCUGGGGCCUCCCUGCAGACUAUCCCCACUCGUGACUUGGUUCUGGUAUGGGGUCCACCCUCAUUUCACAGGAGGACAGCACAGCGGCCGUACCUUCUGAUUCCCUAUGUUCUUUUUGGCCAUGAUCUCCUGUGUGUUCUCCAGCAACUCCAGCUGUUGGCACAGCUUGCCCUGAGCGCCCUUGAGUUGCUCGUUCUCCUGCAGCAGCUGCACACCUUGCUUUGACACCUUGGACAGCUGCAGGGUCACGUUGUUGUUCUCUAGGAUGGCCCGCCUGGUCGUCUCCCACAUCUGGUUGGUGGCCACCUUUCGGAACUCGGUGGCCACCAGGUUCACGCGCUGGAUGAUCUCUUUCCUCAGCCUUGCCAGGAGGGUUGUACACGUAGUCCUUGUAUUCACCCUCCUGCCUUCGAAGCUGUUCCUCCAGCGCCAUGUACUUCUCUGUGAGCUCUUCUUUCUGCAGCCGGAACUCCUCCAGGGAACUCAGCUUGAUUCCUGCCCAUUCGGGGCCACAAGGCUGGACUGGCCUGCACAGCCAUCCCCUGCGUUUCUCCGGAGUGCCUGACCUCACACUCUAUAAUCUCACCAAACCUCGUUCAGAUCCUCCUCAAGAAGUCCCCCUUGACAACCUCCCCACAUGAGAGUGACCAUGACGACAGCAGCUGACCCUGGGCAGACAAGUCUCAACCUUCCCUUUCAGAUGGGCGGCAUAGAUAAAAAUCCUCCAUCUUUU
This 1091-nucleotide long non-coding RNA is filed under the name Rattus norvegicus (Norway rat). Its description in RNAcentral is "long non-coding RNA NONRATT018052". Lineage: Eukaryota; Metazoa; Chordata; Mammalia; Rodentia; Muridae. The record is from RNAcentral.